UACGAAGGGGGCUAGCGUUGCUCGGAAUUACUGGGCGUAAAGGGCGCGUAGGCGGACAGUUUAGUCAGAGGUGAAAGCCCAGGGCUCAACCUUGGAAUUGCCUUUGAUACUGACUGUCUUGAGUACGGGAGAGGUGAGUGGAACUCCGAGUGUAGAGGUGAAAUUCGUAGAUAUUCGGAAGAACACCAGUGGCGAAGGCGACUCACUGGCCCGUUACUGACGCUGAGGCGCGAAAGCGUGGGGAGCAAACAGG
This 253-nucleotide ribosomal RNA is filed under the name uncultured bacterium. RNAcentral describes it as "partial 16S ribosomal RNA". It matches the Rfam family "Bacterial small subunit ribosomal RNA", at positions 524 to 776 of the family's 1533-position model. The record is from RNAcentral.